GUUUAGGAGAGAGUUGGAGGGAUUUAGAUUCAAAGGCUGGGGUGGUUUGCAUUGGAAAUAUGCUUGGAAUUUAUCGCAGCUGCUGAAAGUGGGAUCGCCUGGAGGUGCACAGAUUGUGGAAUUACAGCUGUUCUGUGGAACUGAGGAUCCUCUGGUGGCUCAGCUGUAAAGAAUCCGCCGGCAAUGCAGGAGCCACAGGAGAUGCAGCCAGGCUUCAGCAAUAUGUGAACCGUGAACUUCCAGAUGUUCGAGCUGGUUUUAGAAAAGGCAGAGGAACCAGAGAUCAAAUUGCCAACAUCCGCUGGAUCAUGGAAAAAGCAAGAGAGUUCCAGAAAAACAUCUAUUUCUGCUUUAUUGACUAUGCCAAAGCCUUUGACUGUGUGGAUCACAAUAAACUGUGGAAAAUUCUGAAAAAGAUGGGAAUACCAGAUCACCUGACCUGCCUCUCGAGAAACCUGUAUGCAGGUCAGGAAGCAACAGUUAGAACUGGACAUGGAACAACAGACUGG
Molecule: long non-coding RNA, 509 nt
Organism: Bos taurus (domestic cattle)
Lineage: Eukaryota; Metazoa; Chordata; Mammalia; Artiodactyla; Bovidae
Source: Ensembl